CUUGGACUAACCCAAGUGGUCUCCCUCCCAUUUCGUGGGUUUUGGGACACGUCGAACACUUGCUUGUCGGAGACGAACGUUUGCUGUGUCGGACACAUCUGCCUCCUCUCCAUUGGACUCAUAUACUCUCUUUCUCUCCCUCCUCCUAUCUUUCUACGAAUUUACCUCCUUUCUGGACUGUUUUUUACUUGCACCACCCUUAGCCUACGCGCCUCGCCCUGCUUAUCAUGCGCCCACUCUAAAUAGAGUUCAUAGUACGCAAAGCAAUUUUGUUGUUUCGUAAUCUCUCGGUGGCUUUUCUGCUUUGAAUAUGGCAUGGACUGAGAAAAAUGAUGGAAAUGGGAGAGAGCAGGAAUCGAAUGGAAAUAAUGGUUUCUUGGAAGGGUCGCAGCCUUCUCCUACUGCAAGUGGCUCUCCCGUUGGUAUAGCUGCAGCGCCAAAGGGUUUUGAAGGGAAGGAUGGUCUCUCUUAUGCCAAUAUUCUUCGUUCCAGAAACAAAUUUGUUGAUGCUCUUGCUAUUUAUGAGAGUGUCUUGGAGAAAGAUAGUGGAAACGUCGAAGCUCACAUUGGAAAGGGCAUAUGCCUGCAGAUGCAGAGCAUGGGAAGGGUUGCUUUUGAUAGUUUUGCUGAAGCGGUCAGGCUGGAUCCACAGAAUGUUUGUGCCCUUACACAUUGUGGUAUAUUGUACAAGGAUGAGGGUCGACUGGUAGAGGCUGCUGAGUCUUAUCACAAAGCUCUGAGAGCAGAUCCUUCAUACAAACCAGCUGCAGAAUGCCUAGCCAUUGUCUUAACUGAUCUUGGUACCAGCUUAAAGCUUUCUGGCAAUACACAGGAGGGAAUUCAGAAGUAUUACGAAGCUCUUAAAAUAGAUCCGCAUUAUGCCGUAAAAUCAUACCUUCUCAAUCCCACCUCAGUAGCUUUCAGCUUCUUUUAAAAAUAUUUUUUUUAUGUUUGUUUUGCUUUUGUCAUAUGGAUUUAUAGUUUUACACUUUUACUUCUUACAUGCAGCCUGCAUAUUAUAACCUUGGUGUUGUGUAUUCUGAAAUGAUGCAAUAUGACACUGCCCUUAAUUGCUAUGAGAAAGCUGCAUCGGAGAGGCCCAUGUAUGCUGAAGCUUAUUGCAACAUGGGUGUCAUCUAUAAAAACCGAGGUGAUUUGGAGUCGGCCAUUGCCUGUUAUGAGAGGUGUCUAGCUGUGUCACCAAACUUUGAGAUAGCAAAGAAUAAUAUGGCGAUUGCUCUGACAGAUUUAGGAACAAAGUGAUAUAUAUGUAUAAUCAGGUUAAAUUGGAGGGAGACAUCAAUCAAGGCAUUGCAUAUUACAAGAAGGCUUUGUAUUACAAUUGGCACUAUGCUGAUGCCAUGUAUAAUCUUGGUGUUGCAUAUGGUGAAAUGCUGAAGUUCGAUAUGGCAAUUGUGUUUUAUGAGCUUGCUUUCCACUUCAAUCCUCACUGUGCCGAGGCUUGCAACAACUUAGGAGUAAUAUACAAAGACCGAGACAACCUUGACAAAGCCGUGGAUUGCUAUCAGAUGGCUUUAUCAAUUAAACCAAACUUCUCUCAGUCUUUGAACAAUCUUGGUGUAGUGUACACAGUCCAGGGUAAAAUGGAUGCUGCUGCAAGCAUGAUUGAGAAAGCUAUCAUGGCGAAUCCCACUUAUGCUGAAGCAUAUAAUAACCUAGGGGUCCUUUACAGAGAUGCAGGAAAUAUAACUAUGGCCAUUAAUGCUUAUGAGCAAUGUCUCAAGAUAGAUCCUGAUUCUCGCAAUGCAGGCCAGAAUCGGUUGCUUGCAAUGAACUACAUAAAUGAGGGAUGUGAUGAUAAGCUUUUUGAGGCUCACAGGUUUCGCAUGAUUUUGAUAAAUUGGGCAUGCUUUUAUUUUAGUUCUUUUUCUUUUUUGACGUAAAAUGCAACUUAUUAUGAGUCCAUUGUCGUGUACAGUUAUUAAUUUUUGCUAGUUGCCAUUCUCAUGGACUUUGUAAUGAAGCCAUGUGCUACUUAUUUCAGAGUUCAAAUUAUACAUGGAUUACUUGUUGGAGGAUUGUGAGCCUACAAGAAAAUACCAUUUGACCUUGCAGGAUUUGAUGUUGGAUAAAAAAUAUGCAUUAAUUGAAACAUUUGAGUGAGACAUCUAUUAAAAUCCACUUUGAAAGUGAUUGUUUUUUGCUAUGCCCAUUUUGUUUUGUACCUUGUUGCAGAAUUAAUCUACUAGAUUUAUUGGCUUCGAUUUCACGUUCAAAAAAAUUUUUUUUUUCUUCUAGUUGUUCCAUUGAUUUUUCUUUGUCUUUCUAAAUUAUAUUCUUGUGAUCUGUGUCUCUUGAUUUCUUCAAGUUUCCUGGUAUUAUUUCUUUUCUUCUUUGAUGCUCAUUUGCAAAUGAAAAGGAUAAUCUCAUACCACUUAUGAAUCAUUUUAUCUAUUUAUGUUUGCAUUUCUGUACUAGCAGCUUUACGGCUCUAAGAAAAUAUUGUUUUGUCCUUGGUGAGGCUUCAUCUGAAUUGAAAUGCCUACAUGCAGGGACUGGGGUAGGCGCUUUAUGAGGUUGUAUCCGCAAUACACUUCAUGGGACAAUCCAAAGGAUCCAGAAAGGCCAAUUGUGAUUGGAUAUGUAUCUCCUGAUUAUUUUACCCAUUCUGUAUCGUAUUUCAUUGAGGCCUCUCUUGUAUAUCAUGACUAUGCAAAUUACAAGGUGGUGGUUUAUUCAGCAGUUGUGAAGGCUGAUGCAAAGACUAAUAGGUUUAGGGAGAAAGUCUUAAAAAAGGGUGGCGUAUGGAGGGAUAUAUAUGGAAUUGAUGAAAAGAAAGUGGCAAGCAUGGUUAGAGAAGAUAAAGUUGACAUAUUGGUAGAACUUACCGGACAUACAGCUAACAAUAAGUUGGGAAUGAUGGCAUGCCGACCAGCACCUGUUCAGGUGACUUGGAUUGGCUACCCAAACACAACUGGUUUGCCUACCAUUGAUUAUAGAAUCACUGAUUCACAGGCAGACCCUCCAGAUACGAAGCAAAAGCAUGUUGAGGAGUUGGUUCGACUACCAGAAUGCUUCCUUUGUUAUACACCAUCCCCUGAAGCUGGGCCUGUUGCUUCAACUCCUGCACUUGCUAAUGGCUUUAUCACGUUUGGUAGCUUUAAUAAUCUUGCAAAGAUAACUCCUAAGGUACUACAAGUUUGGGCUAGGAUACUCUGUGCAGUACCAAACUCUCGCCUUGUAGUAAAAUGCAAGCCCUUUUGUUGUGAUAGUGUUAGACAGAGAUUCCUUUCAACAUUGGAGGAGCUGGGAUUAGAAUCAUUGCGUAUUGAUCUUUUACCUCUAAUUCUUCUUAACCAUGAUCAUAUGCAAGCAUAUUCUCUCAUGGACAUUAGGUAAGAUGUUGGGCUUUAAUCUUUUUGUUGGUCAGCUUUUUCUUUCUGACAACUGUUUUGGACAAGUCUGGUGAGCUCUAUAUGUUGUUGAUUUGUUUCUGUGAUAAUGUGAUGUCUACGCAUUUAUCCCUGUAGCUGGGCUUUCGCCUAUUUAUCCUUCUUACUCAACUGCAAAGUUGAGUUUUAAAAAAGGUUCUACAAAUGUCUGAAGCAGAAAAAGGUUUUCUGCACCAAGAGGAAGGUGAUUAACAUCCAAUAAGGAAACAACAUCUACUGAACAUUUAUUUUGUAAAUGUCCUAUAUCAUGCUUGUUUUAUCUUGUAUAUAAUCUGAAUUAGAGGCUGUGAAAUAGGAGAAAGGUGAUGAUGUCAUUUUAGCUAAGGCUGAAGACAAUAUAAAAGGAGUACUUGUAUCUUAAAGACUGUGAAUGACAUAUUUCAAUUCCAUUGAUGUCUUUGUGGUAAUUUCCUAAUUUCUUUAUAUUAUUAUUAUUUCGAUGGGCCAAAUGAGAUUGAAAAUGGGCAUUUUAAGUCUAGGGAUGGCUUGGAGGGAUGAUAAAGGUUUUCUGAAACAGAAUUGAUAGGUGUUGUACGAGAUCUGUGCUGGGGAUUUUGGUAGGACUAAGCAAGAGAGAGAGAAUGCUUUGAAGAGAGAGUACAAUUAGAAGUGUGAAAGGAGAGGGCAGCUGCUAGUAGUCCAGCAAAUGAACAACUAACAAUUCACAUAUUCUACAAAAGAUGCAACAUUAACUAUCCUCCAUAACAUUACUGUUCACUUUUUUUUAUUCAAAAGACUACCUUCAAGGUGAAGAAAUUAUUGUCAAUUGCAAGUGACAUACGACUGCGUGCAAGCUGUAUUUGCAGUUGAACUGGCUCCGACUGGAAGUGUAUCUCUAGGAGUCUAAGGUGUAUAACUAACUAAUCAGGAUGCUCUACCAUCCCAAGGUCAAUUUUCUUGAUUAAAAACUUCAACUUAGGUUACUGAAAAUAACAGAGGGUCAUUGUAUACAGCUAGGAACCUAGAACAGAUAUUUGUUUUUGCCUUGUAUGAGCUUGGUUUGCUUUUGUUUAUAGGCUAGUUUUGAGUGGUUUAUCUGCAGCCUAUGAGCUGUGUUUGCAGUCAUAUAUGGCUGAUGAAUAAAUUCUGAAUAUGCAUGCUCUAUUUUAUGUCUGGUCUCUAUCAUGUCAAAUCUUCUUUACUCGUCCUAACG
This 4566-nucleotide unclassified non-coding RNA is filed under the name Hevea brasiliensis (rubber tree). The record is from RNAcentral. Lineage: Eukaryota; Viridiplantae; Streptophyta; Magnoliopsida; Malpighiales; Euphorbiaceae.